This 478-nucleotide ribosomal RNA is filed under the name uncultured bacterium. Its description in RNAcentral is "partial 16S ribosomal RNA". It matches the Rfam family "Bacterial small subunit ribosomal RNA", at positions 28 to 523 of the family's 1533-position model. The record is from RNAcentral.
GACGAACGCUGGCGGCGUGCUUAACACAUGCAAGUCGAACGGUAAGGCCCUUCGGGGUACACGAGUGGCGAACGGGUGAGUAACACGUGGGUGAUCUGCCCUGCACUUCGGGAUAAGCCUGGGAAACUGGGUCUAAUACCGGAUAGGACCCUGGGAUGCAUGUCCUGGGGUGGAAAGCUUUUGCGGUGUGGGAUGGGCCCGCGGCCUAUCAGCUUGUUGGUGGGGUGAUGGGCUACCAAGGCGACGACGGGUAGCCGGCCUGAGAGGGUGUACGGCCACACUGGGACUGAGAUACGGCCCAGACUCCUACGGGAGGCAGCAGUGGGGAAUAUUGCACAAUGGGCGCAAGCCUGAUGCAGCGACGCCGCGUGAGGGAUGACGGCCUUCGGGUUGUAAACCUCUUUCAGCACCGACGAAGCGCAAGUGACGGUAGGUGCAGAAGAAGGACCGGCCAACUACGUGCCAGCCGCCGCCGUAA